This 103-nucleotide ribosomal RNA is filed under the name Bactericera cockerelli (potato/tomato psyllid). RNAcentral describes it as "partial 5.8S ribosomal RNA". The record is from RNAcentral. Lineage: Eukaryota; Metazoa; Arthropoda; Insecta; Hemiptera; Triozidae.
GCGCGUCAUUGUGUAAAAUGCAGAUCACACNAACAUCNACAUGUCGAACGCACAUUGCUGGCCCGAAACCCUGGCGUUUCGGGUCACGUACAUCCGAGGGUCG